RNAcentral lists this transfer RNA (87 nucleotides) under Rhodospirillaceae bacterium. RNAcentral's name for it is "tRNA-Leu". It matches the Rfam family "tRNA". Rfam says of the family: Transfer RNA (tRNA) molecules are approximately 80 nucleotides in length. RNAcentral also lists the same sequence under 2 other names. Lineage: Bacteria; Pseudomonadati; Pseudomonadota; Alphaproteobacteria; Rhodospirillales; Rhodospirillaceae. The record is from RNAcentral.
GCCCCUGUGGCGGAAUUGGUAGACGCGCCGGAUUCAAAAUCCGGUUCCCGCAAGGGAGUGCGAGUUCGAUUCUCGCUGGGGGCACCA